UCUAGCGAUCCGAUGGGGUAUUGUUGCCUUGUCGAGGAGCUUCCCGGAAACGAAAGUCUUUCGGUUCCGGGGUAGUAUGGUUGCAAAGCUGAAACUUAAAGAAAUUGACGGAAUGGCACCACCAGGAGUGGAGCCUGCGGCUUAAUUUGACUCAACACGGGAAAACUCACCCGGCCCGGACACCGUAAGGAUUGACAGAUUGAAAGCUCUUUCUCGAUUUGGUGGUUGGUGGUGCAUGGCCGUUCUUAGUUGGUGGAGCGAUUUGUCUGGUUUAUUCCGAUAACGAGCGAGACUCUAGCCUGCUAAAUAGUGACUAGAUUUUUAUGUCUAGUCUACUUCUUAGAGGGAUAAGCGGUGUUUAGCCGCACGAGAUUGAGCGAUAACAGGUCUGUGAUGCCCUUAGAUGUCCGGGGCUGCACGCGCGCUACAAUGGAAGAAUCAGCUGGCCUAUCCAUUGCCGAAAGGUAUUGGUAAACCGUUGAAACUCUUCCGUGACCGGGAUAGGGAAUUGUAACUAUUUCCCUUGAACGAGGAAUUCCUAGUAAGUGUGAGUCAUCAGCUCACGCUG
RNAcentral lists this ribosomal RNA (568 nucleotides) under Crenosoma vulpis. RNAcentral describes it as "SSU rRNA". It matches the Rfam family "Eukaryotic small subunit ribosomal RNA", at positions 1045 to 1643 of the family's 1831-position model. The record is from RNAcentral. Lineage: Eukaryota; Metazoa; Nematoda; Chromadorea; Rhabditida; Crenosomatidae.